UGAGAGAAUGUGUCACGCUGCUGCUGAGGCUGGCGUUUCCUCUUUUCAUUCUUUUUAAAUUUCCAGUCAGCAAAAGCCAGCUGGAUGUCCAGUGUCAGCUUCAAGGCAUGCAUACUGCCAUGAUGGCCCUCUGGACCUGGACUGGGGGGAAACUGAGUUCGGAGUUUCCCUGGACCAGCCUUAAAUUCCCUGGGUAGCUGAGGAUGACUUUGAGCUUCUGCUCCUCCUGCUCUGACCUCCCGAGGGCAGGGACUCCAGGGGUGGGCCACCACACCCAGCUUGCUCUCGCUUUUUUGCAUAUCUGUCUCCACUAGGCUGGGGAGCAGCAAAAGCCGGGUAGGAGGGUCUCCUUACUUCUAUCCCAGAGCCGACAUGACAUUUGGUCAGUCAACAUGACAUGGAUGGAAACGAUCUGUUUGCCUGUCUGUCUUCUAUCUCCAGCUUACUCAGGAACUGCAUAGAGAAAGCCUGGGACCCCGGAGAACCGCUCAUGGUGUGAGGCGCGGUUUAGGCAAAGGGUUCUGAAGCCAGACCGUCUGGAAUAGAAUCUUGGCUCUACCUCUGACCAGCUCCGCGACCUUGAGCAAGUCGCCUUGCCCCCUCUAUGCAUCCUUCGCCAUCAAUGACCUAAAGCUGAGAAGGAGAGCGACCUCACAGGCACGGUGAGGGCAGACGCUGGGAGACAGCAGGCUCCGAGCUUGCCACGGAGCAAGCGCGUGCUGGGAGCGGUGGGCUUGGGAGACCAACGCUUCCAGAGAUGGAGGGAAGCCGGCACUGUGACACCGCUGCUUGCUCGGCGUUCCCGGGUUUGUCGGGAUGGGGGGUAGCCGAGGACAGUUCCGACUCAGGUAACCCCAGAAGCUGGAGAAAGUGAGGCACGCAAAGCUUGCUCAGAGAGCCGCACCGGAGUAGCAAAACAGGAAUGCAUUCUCCCUCAGGAAGCAUCUUGGCUCUGCUGUCCUGGCCGGCAGGCUGUGAAAGGACGCACUAACAGCCCUAAGUGAAUAACAGCACCCGGCCGAAGAACUGAGGAGCGGUGAGCUCAGCUACAGGGGGCCCUGCUUCAUUCUGGACUCACUGGGCUGCUUUUCCUAAAAGGGGGGGGGGCAGAGAAAGAAAAGAACCCCCUCCCCGGUUAAACCCUGACCUUCAGUCUGUCCCUCCUUCCG
This 1169-nucleotide long non-coding RNA is filed under the name Meriones unguiculatus (Mongolian gerbil). RNAcentral's name for it is "lncRNA (ENSMUGG00000022717.1)". The record is from RNAcentral. Lineage: Eukaryota; Metazoa; Chordata; Mammalia; Rodentia; Muridae.